GAUGAACGCUGGCGGCGUGCCUAAUACAUGCAAGUCGAGCGAACAGAUGAGGAGCUUGCUCCUCUGACGUUAGCGGCGGACGGGUGAGUAACACGUGGAUAACCUACCUAUAAGACUGGGAUAACUUCGGGAAACCGGAGCUAAUACCGGAUAAUAUAUUGAACCGCAUGGUUCAAUAGUGAAAGACGGUUUUGCUGUCACUUAUAGAUGGAUCCGCGCCGCAUUAGCUAGUUGGUAAGGUAACGGCUUACCAAGGCAACGAUGCGUAGCCGACCUGAGAGGGUGAUCGGCCACACUGGAACUGAGACACGGUCCAGACUCCUACGGGAGGCAGCAGUAGGGAAUCUUCCGCAAUGGGCGAAAGCCUGACGGAGCAACGCCGCGUGAGUGAUGAAGGUCUUCGGAUCGUAAAACUCUGUUAUUAGGGAAGAACAAAUGUGUAAGUAACUAUGCACGUCUUGACGGUACAUAAUCAGAAAGCCACGGCUAACUACGUG
This 497-nucleotide ribosomal RNA is filed under the name uncultured bacterium. RNAcentral describes it as "partial 16S ribosomal RNA". It matches the Rfam family "Bacterial small subunit ribosomal RNA", at positions 28 to 507 of the family's 1533-position model. The record is from RNAcentral.